CCUCUAGAGUCUCUGGUGAUCCCUGCCGGACCUGACUGCUAUCAGAGUGGGACUAAGCCAUGCGAGUUGACGUAGUAAUACGUAGCGAACGGCUCAGUAACACGUAGUCAACAUGCCCAGGGGACGUGGAUAACCUCGGGAAACUGAGAGUAAACCGCGAUAGGUCACAAUUUCUGGAAUGGAUUUUGGCUUAAAUCUACAUGGCCCCUGGAUUGGACUGCGGCCGAUCAGGCUGUUGGUGAGGUAAUGGCCCACCAAACCUGUAACCGGUACGGGCUCUGAGAGGAGAAGCCCGGAGAUGGGCACUGAGACAAGGGCCCAGGCCCUAUGGGGCGCAGCAGGCGCGAAACCUCUGCAAUGGGCGAAAGCCUGACAGGGUUACUCUGAGUGAUUUCCGCUAAGGAGAUCUUUUGGCAGCUCUAAAAAUGGUGCAGAAUAAGGGGUGGGCAAGUCUGGUGUCAGCCGCCGCGGUAAUACCAGCACCCCGAGUGGUCGGGACGAUUAUUGGGCCUAAAGCAUCCGUAGCCGGUUGUGCAAGUCCUCCGUUAAAUCCAGCCGCUCAACGGAUGGGCUGCGGAGGAUACUACAGGACUAGGAGGCGGGAGAGGCAAGCGGUACUUAGUGGGUAGGGGUAAAAUCCUUUGAUCCAUUGAAGACCACCAGUGGCGAAGGCGGCUUGCCAGAACGCGCUCGACGGUGAGGGAUGAAAGCUGGGGGAGCAAACCGGAUUAGAUACCCGGGUAGUCCCAGCUGUAAACGAUGCAGACUCGGUGAUGGGCUAGCCUCGUGUCAGCCCAGUGCCGCAGGGAAGCCGUUAAGUCUGCCGCCUGGGGAGUACGGUCGCAAGACUGAAACUUAAAGGAAUUGGCGGGGGAGCACCACAAGGGGUGAAGCCUGCGGUUCAAUUGGACUCAACGCCGGG
RNAcentral lists this ribosomal RNA (922 nucleotides) under uncultured archaeon. Its description in RNAcentral is "bacterial SSU rRNA". It matches the Rfam family "Archaeal small subunit ribosomal RNA", at positions 1 to 922 of the family's 1478-position model. The record is from RNAcentral.